AACCUGAUCAGCAGGAAGCAGGAAGGACCAAACCAAAUCUUUUCAGCUUCCGCAGUAUCACACUGAAACAAUCAAGAGAAAAAUCUCUCUUCUGGGGUUCUGCCACCAACACAGUAAAGAUGGACAGUGAUGCAGCAACAGGCUGAAGUACAUUUACUUUCCUGGCCUGAAAUCAUUGCAGUUAGCUUUUACCAGAGAAAUCACAGGACUCAAAAGCUGCUGGCAACACCCAAACUGUGUUUUAAAUGCAUGUUCUAGUGGUGUCUGUCCUCCUGGCACAGAGCAACAUGCUUCAUCAAGCCAAGAAAUAUUAAUUAUUUGAAUAGCCGUUGAGAGAAAGGUCAGACUGCUUCCUAAGAGCAGUGGGAAGAGCUGCAUUUCAAGAAAGGCUCUGAGAAAGUUACUCCAUUUUCAGUGUGGGUUGGUGUAUGUGCACACACAUCUGUGUACAUUAAGGUGAUUGGCCACAGCCACUUAUCAUAGACCUGGCUGAAAAAAAGGAGCAUCUCCUGGGACCAGGUUUCAGCGCUGUGCUGAGGCAGACCCCGUCUGGCCCCAGGAACCACCAGGUCCUGCCCAGGGCAGUGCCGUCAGCCCCAGAGCCAAUGCUCAGCCAGUGCUGGAAGGGAAACACCCAUCAGAAGAUGCAAGGUGGCCUAGUGAGUGACAGCAGUGACAGAGCACAGUCAACAUCGCUAGGGAAAUAUGCCAUAUAAGACUAUACAGAACAUAGCUCAAAAGUAUGCAGAGAUUCAGCUUACAGAAAUGCAAGACAAACUUAGAUUUUUUCCCCCCUCUUGUCUUUCUGCCAUUUAUACUUGCAAUACUGAUUGCCAAAUGUGAGGAGACAAGUUAUGGUGCCCAAAUACAUCUCCCAAAGGAUGACUGCUCGCUCUGUUUGUGUUAAAGUGCUUGGUUUCAUCUCAUCCAUCGCAAGCUACAGACCGGUCCUUGACACCAGAGAUUCAAUACGUGGUGAGUCCCGCGGCACUUACCCGGCCCAGCUGGCGCCGCCAGGGGAGAGCAGUGCAGGGGCACGCAGCGAGGGCAGCGCAGUGGCGGUGCAGGCACCCCCAGAGGAGCCACCGGCUCUGCCCUCCCAGGGCAGACGGGUUCCGGCUGACUCUGCACAGGCGGGACCCCAGCAGCCUUGAUACUUGGCGCAAAAGGCGAGAGUUGCACUCUGCCCAGUAUCAGCUUGGGAUUGUCAGUAUAACACUCAUCCUGCCUGCUUGCCUCCUGGUCCCCCCGGGCAUGUGGCAGAGGCCAGCAGGCCCUCUGGUCUCGGGGAUCUCUCAAGCUCUGAUGGCCCAGGGAUGAGCCUUGGGUUGCGGCACGUC
RNAcentral lists this long non-coding RNA (1340 nucleotides) under Anser cygnoides (Swan goose). RNAcentral's name for it is "lncRNA (ENSACDG00005000788.1)". Lineage: Eukaryota; Metazoa; Chordata; Aves; Anseriformes; Anatidae. The record is from RNAcentral.